Molecule: long non-coding RNA, 310 nt
Filed under: Homo sapiens (human)
Lineage: Eukaryota; Metazoa; Chordata; Mammalia; Primates; Hominidae
Description: non-protein coding lnc-ZNF708-5:1
Source: RNAcentral
UUUGCACCCGCAGUGAUGCGUGCUUUGCGCAAGAAUAAGACUCUCCACUACGAAGUCCCCAUGUUGUUGCUAAUUGUUGGAGUUUCUUUUGGUGUUCGUGAGUUUUUACAAAUCUGACAUGAUGCAGUGAAGAUUAAAAUUGAUCCUGAGUUGGAAAAAAACUGAAAGCAAAUAGUAUCAUUAGAGUCAGAAUAUGAGAAAAGACUCCACUUUUGAUGACUGGAAGAAUAUCCAAGGACCCAAGCCUUGGAAAGAUCCUGACCUCCUCCAAGAAAGGAAUCCAGAAAUCCUUAAGACUAAGACAACCUGA